This 253-nucleotide ribosomal RNA is filed under the name uncultured bacterium. RNAcentral describes it as "partial 16S ribosomal RNA". It matches the Rfam family "Bacterial small subunit ribosomal RNA", at positions 524 to 776 of the family's 1533-position model. The record is from RNAcentral.
UACGGAGGGUGCAAGCGUUGCUCGGAAUCACUGGGCGUAAAGCGACCGCAGGCGGCCUGACAAGUCGGAUGUGAAAGCCCUGGGCUCAACUCAGGAAUUGCAUUCGAAACUGGCAGGCUUGAGUACGGGAGAGGGGGGUGGAAUUCCUGGUGUAGGGGUGAAAUUCGUUGAUAUCAGGAGGAACACCGGCGGCGAAGGCGGCCCCGUGGCCCGCAACUGACGCUCAUGGUCGAAAGCGUGGGGAGCAAACAGG